Molecule: ribosomal RNA, 327 nt
Filed under: Metagyndes martensii
Lineage: Eukaryota; Metazoa; Arthropoda; Arachnida; Opiliones; Gonyleptidae
Description: partial 12S ribosomal RNA
Source: RNAcentral
CCCUAUUAUUUUAAUAAGUUUAAUAGUUAGUAUAAUUUGAAAUUUAAUAAUUUUGGCGGUUAUUUAUUUAUUAGAGGAGCUUGUAUUAUUAAUAAGAAUUUAUUCUUUAUAUUUAAUUUAAUUUUUGUUUAUACAUCUCCGUUAUUAAAUUAAAUAGUUAUAAAAAAAAUAUUUUUGAAUUUCAGGUCAAGAUGUAGCAUAUUUAAAAAUAAGUAUUAGCUACAUUUAUAAAAUAGAUGGAAUUUAGAAUAAGUAUUAUAGAAAGAAAUUGAAUUUAAUUGUAAUAUUAAUUAAAAAGUUAUUAUGAAAUUUAAUAUAUUUAAUGUA